Molecule: long non-coding RNA, 365 nt
Organism: Melanotaenia boesemani (Boeseman's rainbowfish)
Lineage: Eukaryota; Metazoa; Chordata; Actinopteri; Atheriniformes; Melanotaeniidae
Exons: 3
Source: RefSeq, a predicted model, not a curated record
AACACCUUUGAAAACUCAGGGAGCCACACCCGACCAAAACGACAGAAAGAGUAUUAUACUCUGUCACAAGCUCUUGAACUUGUGCUGGAGGGAAGGGAUCUGGACAACUCAGACCUAGAGGAGUUGUCAGACACCGACGACCCAGUGAUGGAUGCUGAUUACCAUCCUCCACAAAACGAGACGAGCAGCAGUGAGGAGAGCAGUGGGGGUGAAGACCCCAUUCCCCAACCCACUGAGGCCAGCCGGGGGAGGAAACGUUUCCGUGGUGAAGUGGCUGGUUAUCGCUCAGACCGUAGCAUUGCUACUUCACGCACACCAAGACAUGGAACUCAGCAGGUCGAGGUUGGUGGCUCAACUGCUGACCC